This 791-nucleotide ribosomal RNA is filed under the name uncultured Acidobacteriota bacterium. Its description in RNAcentral is "bacterial SSU rRNA". It matches the Rfam family "Bacterial small subunit ribosomal RNA", at positions 74 to 896 of the family's 1533-position model. Lineage: Bacteria; Pseudomonadati; Acidobacteriota. The record is from RNAcentral.
GUGCAGCAAUCCAUGAGUAAAGUGGCGCACGGGUGAGUAACACGUGACUAACCUACCCUUGAGUGGGGAAUAACCUCGGGAAACCGGGGCUAAUACCGCAUAAUACCUUCGGGUCAAAGGAGCAAUUCGCUUAAGGAGGGGGUCGCGGCUGAUUAGCUAGUUGGUGGGGUAAUGGCCUACCAAGGCAAUGAUCAGUAUCCGGCCUGAGAGGGCGCACGGACACACUGGAACUGAAACACGGUCCAGACUCCUACGGGAGGCAGCAGUGGGGAAUUUUGCACAAUGGGGGAAACCCUGAUGCAGCAACGCCGCGUGGAGGAUGAAGUCCCUUGGGAUGUAAACUCCUUUCGACCGGGACGAUAAUGACGGUACCGGUAGAAGAAGCCCCGGCUAACUCUGUGCCAGCAGCCGCGGUAAUACAGAGGGGGCAAGCGUUGUUCGGAAUUAUUGGGCGUAAAGGGUGCGUAGGCGGUGCGGUAAGUCUUCUGUGAAAUCUCCGGGCUCAACUCGGAGCCUGCAGGAGAAACUGCCGUGCUUGAGUAUGGGAGAGGUGAGUGGAAUUCCUGGUGUAGCGGUGAAAUGCGUAGAUAUCAGGAGGAACACCUGUGGCGAAAGCGGCUCACUGGACCAUAACUGACGCUGAGGCACGAAAGCUAGGGGAGCAAACAGGAUUAGAUACCCUGGUAGUCCUAGCCCUAAACGAUGAUUGCUUGGUGUAGCAGGUACCCAAUCCUGCUGUGCCGCAGCUAACGCGUUAAGCAAUCCGCCUGGGGANUACGGUCGCAAGGCUG